This 440-nucleotide ribosomal RNA is filed under the name uncultured bacterium. Its description in RNAcentral is "partial 16S ribosomal RNA". It matches the Rfam family "Bacterial small subunit ribosomal RNA", at positions 338 to 795 of the family's 1533-position model. The record is from RNAcentral.
CCUACGGGAGGCAGCAGUGGGGGAUAUUGCACAAUGGGGGGAACCCUGAUGCAGCGACGCCGCGUGGGUGAAGAAGCGCCUCGGCGCGUAAAGCCCUGUCAGCAGGGAAGAAAAUGACGGUACCUGAAGAAGAAGCCCCGGCUAACUACGUGCCAGCAGCCGCGGUAAUACGUAGGGGGCAAGCGUUAUCCGGAUUUACUGGGUGUAAAGGGGGCGCAGACGGCGAUGCAAGCCAGGAGUGAAAGCCCGGGGCCCAACCCCGGGACUGCUCUUGGAACUGCGUGGCUGGAGUGCAGGAGGGGCAGGCGGAAUUCCUGGUGUAGCGGUGAAAGGCGUAGAUAUCAGGAGGAACACCGGUGGCGAAGGCGGACUGCUGGACUGCAACUGACGUUGAGGCCCGAAAGCGUGGGGAGCAAACAGGAUUAGAUACCCGAGUAGUC